Long non-coding RNA from Helianthus annuus (common sunflower), 1796 nucleotides. RefSeq lists it as uncharacterized. NCBI's taxonomy places the organism in Eukaryota, Viridiplantae, Streptophyta, Magnoliopsida, Asterales, Asteraceae. The transcript has 3 exons. The record is from RefSeq and is a predicted model, not a curated record.
UACAGAUUCAACUAUCUGAAUUCGGCUUGGAUCGUUGUUUCAGAUUUUAUUAAUGAUAUAGAAUCGACAACGAUUCCUUUGUCGUUCUACUUUGAAGUGUUAAUCAGUGGAUCUACCACCUUUGGAGCACUCAUGUGCAGCAAAAACAGGAAUAGCCGACUCCAGGUAAAUGCUUUUCCCAGCUCAAAGGCGAUGACUAGUAGAUUCGGGGCACGAAAGCUGCAUUGAUUUGACUUCUUUGCUUCUGCACAUCACAACCUCAAAUAUAAUCACCAAUAUGAAUAUGUGUAGAAGUUCAACAAGACAUGCCUAGAUGCAGAUUCCAUUGUUGGUGGCUUUCUUAGGGAUGCAACUGAAUUUAACCUACAAGUUGAUACUUUCUUGCUCAAGCUUCACUUUCAGUGGAAAUAUGGUUGGGACUGUGUACUUUUAAAUAGACAAUGUGUUGAUUGUUUUCGGUGACUGGUAUUUGGGUUCUCAAUGCGUUGAUCAUUUUCGUUGAUCGGUAGGUGAGUGUUGAUAAGGAGGAAGUGUUGGUUGUCUAAACGAUGGACUUUGCAAGGCGUUGGUGUAAAAAGUUGAAGCCAAAAGAUAAGUCAAAGUCUUCACCGGAAAAGGAAGGUAGAAUUAAUGGGAAGGAAGGAUUACGAGUAACGAGUGAUGAAGCACCUUCAAAUGCUACUAAACAGAAGGUUGAAGCUGCUAAGCAAUAUAUAAAAAAACAUUACAAGGAGCAAUGAAGAAUCUUAAUGAGCGACGGGAACGGUAUGAAUUUUAUGCAUCUGUUAGUUUGCAUCUUAAUUUGACAUGGCUCUUUGCUCGUGUUGCCUUGUGCUAUGGACUGAAUAUGGUAUUUAAGAGUAAGAAAAAUUUUCCUUUUUUUUUUUUGCUUUUUUAUCUUCUAACGCAUGCAUGCUAUAUAAAUUAAAAUAAUGGGUUCAGUAAUGGGUUAAAAAGGUAACUUUGGUAUGCGUUGAAUGAGUCGUAUUGGGUUGUUUUUUGGUGUUAUAUCUACAAAGGAAUGGGUCCGUCUGUCUGUCAGGAGACUGUAUGUUCAAGGAAAAGAUAUUAACGGAGUCGGACUCUAUGCAAGUUAGCAAUUCAAACAGGAAGGAAAAGUGGGUGCCAUAGUGGUGAUGCUUCACACUGGCGGUACGUUUGGCAUGUUCGGCUUAGCUCAGCGGUACAAGUCUUACUUCUAAAAUUAUGUUCUUCAUACAGGUGUGUCAUAUUGACAACAAUUAUGCGCUUUUCUAAUGGGAAGCCUAUAAUACACAACCAUGCUACACCUUAGUUAAUGUGUGUCUUUCUUUAUAUAUAAUAUAACGUCACAUAGACCUGGAUUGAACAUUUGGGCCCAAAAACAAACUUUGCAUGGUUGAAAAUAUGUAGUGUAGAUUUCAUUUCCCUUUCUAAACGAUGAUGACUAGGUGGUAAUAUGAGUGGGUUGGGUAACGAGUCGAACCAUGUAAUUUUCUAAAUUUUUAGAAUGGUCCGAACUUGCCUGGAUGGUUGGGUUGACAUGCAUUUAUUUUUGUCAUUUCUUAAAAUAAUUUUUAAUUAAAAAAUAACGUGUUAUAUAUGAUUUUGAACACUUAUUUUUACGCAAUCCAAAUUUUUCAAUAAAUCGUUCGAAUACGAAUACAAUUUGGGCUACUUUCAACCUAAAAUUUGAUCAGAAAUAAAAUAUUAACCCAAAUCAACCUCUUCCGGGUCAAAAUUGACUCCUAUUUUUUUACCAACAAAAUUAAAACAUUUAAUUAAAACUUCUCAUAAGUGUUUGAUUCUCUCUUUCA